CUUUAUGGCGACUGCGCGGGCAACCUUUUGGUUGGCCGGUUCUGCUCUGUGUCCGGUAUUCCUACCCCGUGCAGUUCGCCGCCUUC
This 86-nucleotide non-coding RNA is filed under the name Candidatus Kentrum sp. FW. The record is from RNAcentral. Lineage: Bacteria; Pseudomonadati; Pseudomonadota; Gammaproteobacteria.